RNAcentral lists this ribosomal RNA (477 nucleotides) under uncultured bacterium. Its description in RNAcentral is "partial 16S ribosomal RNA". It matches the Rfam family "Bacterial small subunit ribosomal RNA", at positions 28 to 523 of the family's 1533-position model. The record is from RNAcentral.
GACGAACGCUUGCGGCGCGCCUAAUACAUGCAAGUCGAGCGAGAAAGUUCUUCGGAAUGAGUACAGCGGCGGACGGGUGAGGAACACGUAGAUAAUCUGCCUUAAAGUGGGGAAUAGCUACUCGAAAGAGUAAUUAAUACCGCAUAAGACCACAAGAUCUGAGGAUCAAGGGGUUAAAGGAGCAAUUCGCUUUAAGAUGAGUCUGCGUCCGAUUAGCUAGUUGGUGAGGUAAUGGCUCACCAAGGCGAUGAUCGGUAACUGGUCUGAGAGGAUGGCCAGGCACACUGGAACUGAGACACGGUCCGGACGCCUACGGGAGGCAGCAGUAGGGAAUAUUGCACAAUGGACGAAAGUCUGAUGCAGCGACGCCGCGUGAGUGAUGAAGGCCUUCGGGUCGUAAAACUCUAUGAUAAGGGAAGAUGAUGACGGUACCUUAUCAGAAAAGACCGGCUAACUUCGUGCCAGCAGCAGCCGCCG